GGUCUUGCGCUUUCGCCCCGCGACACCUAGAUUGAUCCCGUUCCGCAAGGGACUAUGGGUGUAGACGGGCCAACUAGGCUGGAUCGGACGGGGGUGCGAAUCCCCCCACCUCCACCAUUUCUCCUGGGCUAACAGGAGUGCGGGGGUGAAUUAGGGUCGACGAACGGUUGAAUGGGUACUUGCAUCUCGGUUGGACGCAGCCGUUAUCUGCUCAAAUGUACAGUUGCCAACGACAACCGUGCUCCGGUGGCUCUGGCUGCGUAAGCAGCUCGGGUACCGAAACCUAAAGUCCUUACGCUUAGCCGCUUAAGGCGGGGCUCGCAGGUGCCUGGCAACAGAAACCUGCACU
This is a non-coding RNA of Rhodobacter capsulatus SB 1003, 349 nucleotides long. It matches the Rfam family "Alphaproteobacteria transfer-messenger RNA". From Rfam's summary of the family: Bacterial tmRNA, also known as 10Sa RNA or SsrA, is named for its dual tRNA and mRNA-like properties. Its role is to liberate the mRNA from a stalled ribosome. Lineage: Bacteria; Pseudomonadati; Pseudomonadota; Alphaproteobacteria; Rhodobacterales. The record is from Rfam.